UGUCUCAAAGAUUAAGCCAUGCAUGUCUCAGUACAAGCCAAAUUAAGGUGAAACCGCGAAAGGCUCAUUAAAUCAGUUAUGGUUCCUUAGAUCGUACAAACAGUUACUUGGAUAACUGUGGUAAUUCUAGAGCUAAUACAUGCAAACAGGGCCCCGACCGGAGACGGAAGGGGUGCUUUUAUUAGAACAAGACCAAUCGGCGGUGGCGAAUCUGAAUAACUUUACGCUGAUCGCACGGUCCAGCACCGGCGACGCAUCUUUCAAAUGUCUGCCUUAUCAACUGUCGAUGGUAGGAUCUGCGCCUACCAUGGUUGUAACGGGUAACGGGGAAUCAGGGUUCGAUUCCGGAGAGGGAGCCUGAGAAACGGCUACCACAUCCAAGGAAGGCAGCAGGCGCGCAAAUUACCCACUCCCGGCACGGGGAGGUAGUGACGAAAAAUAACGAUACGGGACUCAUCCGAGGCCCCGUAAUCGGAAUGAGAACACUUUAAAUCCUUUAACGAGGACCAAUUGGAGGGCAAGUCUGGUGCCAGCAGCCGCGGUAACUCCAGCUCCAAUAGCGUA
This 564-nucleotide ribosomal RNA is filed under the name Peltodytes caesus. RNAcentral's name for it is "SSU rRNA". It matches the Rfam family "Eukaryotic small subunit ribosomal RNA", at positions 33 to 601 of the family's 1831-position model. Lineage: Eukaryota; Metazoa; Arthropoda; Insecta; Coleoptera; Haliplidae. The record is from RNAcentral.